Molecule: non-coding RNA, 1137 nt
Organism: Biomphalaria pfeifferi
Lineage: Eukaryota; Metazoa; Mollusca; Gastropoda; Planorbidae
Source: the annotation of a GenBank genome assembly
AAACAAAAUACAAAAAUAAUCAGCACAGAAUCAACUGUGUGACCCCACGUAAUGUUCUUGGCUUUACAAAAAAAUCAUUUCAAAUGAAACAAGAAUCGAGUUAUCAAGUUUUUUCAAAGCUACAUAAGGAUAUAGUUUAGUACCAUACAACAUUACAUCUACAUGUCGACUGUAUGCAAUACAAUAUUUGAAAAGAUCAAUACAGAAGUAGACCAUGGAACCAAAAAAAAAGUUAUCUGGAAAAAAUAAUGUUUCCAAUGUUUCCAGAUAUGGCAUGCCUUGACAUGAGUCAGUGCUAGGACUCGAUACGUGCUACACUCGGAGUAUAUCUAGUAUAUAAUUAUACAUCGUAACAAAAUAAAUAAUGUGCAAUAUUAUGUGUCAACUUUUAUCGCUUGAGGUUUCUCAAAGCAUGCUCUACUAAUGUCCUCAGGGUGCCAGAGAUAUAAGGCACACAGUAGCGUAGCAAAGUAUAUAGGGAUCCGGGUUCAAGAAUAUGAUGGUCCCAUUGUUUGGGUGUAACAAAAAAACCAAAUCAAUUCACUGGUAACGUCAGUAACAUUAACGACAUUAAACGCAGGUGCUAGCUGCAACGUUAUGGCCAUUAGACAAGGUCCUCAGGGCUCGCACUGACCUUCCUUCAGAGAACAGUACCAGGAAAAAAGAAGAGGCAGAAAAAGAAAGCGAUGGGAAGACAACAUAAAAGAAUGGACGGGCCUGUUAUUGAAAAAGGUUGUAUCAAAGACAUUGAAAGAGGAAUGGAGAAAGAUGGUCGACAGAUCAUGUGUGGUGUCCGAGAGACUAAGGGACAGGCGAAGGGAAGGACUAACGUGUAAAUUUUUAUUGUUAUUUUACAUCCUAUAAAUUAGUUCCUUUAAACAAAGUAAUACUUGAUAUAAACAAUUAAUACUUAAUAUAAACAAUUAAUACUUAAUAUAAACAAUUAAUACUUAAUAUAAACAAUUAAUACUUGAUAUGAAUAAUUAAUACUUGAUAUAAACAAUUAAUACUUAAUAUAAACAAUUAAAACUUAAUAUAAACAAUUAAUACUUACUAUAAACAAUUAAUACUUAAUAUAAACAAUUAAUACUUAAUAUAAAUCAGAUACAUUUAAAUUCUUAUAGUUAUUGUUAAUCU